GCCCUUGUAGCUCAGUUGGUAGAGCAGCGGUUUUGUAAACCGAAGGUCGCGGGUUCGAUUCCUGCCGGGGGCA
RNAcentral lists this transfer RNA (73 nucleotides) under Rhizobacter sp. Root1221. It matches the Rfam family "tRNA". Rfam says of the family: Transfer RNA (tRNA) molecules are approximately 80 nucleotides in length. Their secondary structure includes four short double-helical elements and three loops (D, anti-codon, and T loops). Further hydrogen bonds mediate the characteristic L-shaped molecular structure. tRNAs have two regions of fundamental functional importance: the anti-codon, which is responsible for specific mRNA codon recognition, and the 3' end, to which the tRNAs corresponding amino acid is attached (by aminoacyl-tRNA synthetases). tRNAs cope with the degeneracy of the genetic code in two manners: having more than one tRNA (with a specific anti-codon) for a particular amino acid; and 'wobble' base-pairing, i.e. permitting non-standard base-pairing at the 3rd anti-codon position. Lineage: Bacteria; Pseudomonadati; Pseudomonadota; Betaproteobacteria; Burkholderiales; Sphaerotilaceae. RNAcentral also lists the same sequence under 1 other name. The record is from Rfam by way of RNAcentral.